RNAcentral lists this long non-coding RNA (1290 nucleotides) under Macaca mulatta (Rhesus monkey). Its description in RNAcentral is "lncRNA (ENSMMUG00000051624.1)". Lineage: Eukaryota; Metazoa; Chordata; Mammalia; Primates; Cercopithecidae. The record is from RNAcentral.
CACUCUCCUCUUCUAUGUGUGGGUUGCUUUGUGUUAUAAUCUCUAUAUACAUAUUUUGUCCUUGUCACUUACGAUUUUCAUUCUAACUCCACAGGUUUUCUUUCCAAUUUGUCACAAUCACUGAAAUAACUUAGGUAUGUCUCUUUAAAUACACGUACGGGCCACCCAAUUUGGAAUGACUUAUAAAAUGUUACUCUAUGUUUGAAGCAGUUUUUAUGGAACACUAAUGAUUUGCACUGAGCCAAAGUCAUUGGCCUGAGGAUAUAUUCUCAGACAAAGCAUAGUAAAAAUCAAUGUCAUGAGUCUGUGCUGGUUGGUGGUGAUCGACAGCAUUCCUGUGCAAAGGGGUUUAGUUGGAGAGAAACUGAAGUUUUAAAGACAGGCAUACAUAGGCAGAAGAGAAGUGAUCCCUUGAUAUUCCUCUUCACUUCCUAUGUAUCAAUUCUUCGGUUUUGUGAGACUGAGAUAGGGAGACUCUUAUGGAAUAUCUGUCCUUUCCCUUCAGCUGCCUGAUCUUUCCUGGGCUCCUGGCUGGCCUACACAUGUGUAACGAUGGUCACCUCCACACUCAUGACAAACAGAAGGGAGGAGACCAACAAACUGCAUAUCCUACAUGGUAACCUGAAACUAGACUCUGUGAUAGUAUUAGUUUGUGAGUUGUAUCAGAAACUAUAUGAUUUUAGUCCUUUUAAGUUUAUUCAGGUUUAUUUUAAGGGCUAGCAUAUGCUCUAUCCUAUAGAAUGUCCUAUGUAUACUCGAGAAGAAGUGUAUUCUGUUUUUGUUGAUAUGUAAUAUGUAAAUGAAACCUUACCGGUAGCAGCUCUCAGAGAGAAUAAACCCUCAAAGUUUCUUUCAGACCUUUACAGGUGUCAGACUCUCAGUUAAUCUUCCCUAAAUCUGGGCAAGGAAAGACUUGGCUGUGUCAAUGCAGAUUCCCUACAGAUGCAAAUCUCCCCACCAAAAGACAACUUUGCAGGGCUACUUCUGCAGCUGGCUUUCUGAACAGACAUCUCAAAAUAUGUCAAAGAAAUGUAUUUUGGGGUAAAAUAUUUUUAAUUCCUUCACAUCUACAGCCUGAUGCACCUGCCGUUUCAACGCACCAUUGUUGGUGGCAACUCCAUUCUUCCCUACACUCAAGCCAGAAAAACAGAUUCUCCUUGAGGGAUGCAACUGGGAAAUUUGUUUUUAAUGCACUUACUUGAAGGAAGAAUAUUUUAAAGUAUUUUUGCAAAGAAAAAUGUUUCCUUUUGCCCUGAAGACAUUCAGAUGUGAGGAAAAUCACUAGGCUGG